GGGAGUACGGCCGCAAGGUUAAAACUCAAAUGAAUUGACGGGGGCCCGCACAAGCGGUGGAGCAUGUGGUUUAAUUCGAUGCAACGCGAAGAACCUUACCUACACUUGACAUACAGAGAACUUACCAGAGAUGGUUUGGUGCCUUCGGGAACUCUGAUACAGGUGCUGCAUGGCUGUCGUCAGCUCGUGUUGUGAGAUGUUGGGUUAAGUCCCGCAACGAGCGCAACCCCUAUCCUUAGUUGCUAGCAGGU
This 251-nucleotide ribosomal RNA is filed under the name Pseudoalteromonas sp. SG44-8. RNAcentral describes it as "partial 16S ribosomal RNA". It matches the Rfam family "Bacterial small subunit ribosomal RNA", at positions 876 to 1126 of the family's 1533-position model. The record is from RNAcentral. Lineage: Bacteria; Pseudomonadati; Pseudomonadota; Gammaproteobacteria; Alteromonadales; Pseudoalteromonadaceae.